UCAAAUGUCAGUGUUACUGUUAGAACCCAAGGAAUUAAAGAAAGUGUUGCUCUCAAAUUGAGUUUGCUCAUUAUUAUAAGUGUAAACCGGUGAUUUGAUGGCUUUAUUUAUUUCCAAGAUUUCCAAAAGAUCCAACCUUAACCCCUUCUGACAAACAUGGAGCACCUCGGUAUCCGCCCCAGGCUCGAACCCAUGUCCGGUCUCAAUAAUAUUAUUGGCGAAAGGAGAAGAGCACACAUUGCAGUCAGGAUGAGAACAUUUUAGUCUGUAAAUACCAGAUCUGUGUGUGACGGAGAUUUUAUCUUUGGUGUUGACUAGAGAUUUAGACAAAUUAUUCGAAGUUCUGAAACAAACACGCAGCCGCUCAUCGGAGUCCCUCGACAAACUCUUGGCAACCUGAUGGGAUAUGUUUUCAAAAUAUGAUAUGCUUCUGUACACGCCAUCGGUUUUGUAUAUAUAUGUAGCUUAUUUAAAUAUUUGUAAAGAUGUUGAAAAUAAAGAGACUUUUUAAUCUU
Long non-coding RNA from Anthonomus grandis grandis, 515 nucleotides. RefSeq lists it as uncharacterized. The record is from RefSeq and is a predicted model, not a curated record. NCBI's taxonomy places the organism in Eukaryota, Metazoa, Arthropoda, Insecta, Coleoptera, Curculionidae. The transcript is spliced from 2 exons.